Grus americana (Whooping crane) is the source of this 1151-nucleotide RNA transcript. It is a transcript of the gene named occludin/ELL domain containing 1, with no coding region annotated. The record is from RefSeq and is a predicted model, not a curated record. NCBI's taxonomy places the organism in Eukaryota, Metazoa, Chordata, Aves, Gruiformes, Gruidae. The transcript has 5 exons.
CUGUUGCGGGCAGCGGCGGGCAGAGGCCGGGGGACAUCGCGGUGAGCCCCGGAACCACGUCCCGCCAUGAGACGGGCAGAGGGGCUCAGCCCAGAGGCGGAGAAGCGGAGCAGCUGCCAGAUGCGCCCAAGGGACCCCCAUCGCCCCCAAGCUGGAGGGAGCCGAUGGCCGAGCCCACCCGCCCCACCAGCGAGCCAGGGCUGCCGGGCUCCGCCAGCCCGAGCCAGACACGUCGUCUUCGAGGAUGAGGUGAUGUCACUGGGGAGACCCCCGGGGAGGGUCCCCCCUGCCGCAGACGGGGAGAAGACGGGGGCCAGGUCCGUCCCCCCCGGGCUGGCACCCCGGCCACGCGCUGUCCCGGACUACGUGGUGCAGCGCCCGGGCUCUCCCUCCCGCACCCUGAGCCUCGUGGCCUCGUGGCGGUGCAGAAAGUACCCGGCGAUCCGGAGUCCCCGGCAGUGGGAGGGCUACAAGGGCGUCUUCCAGGACCAGCUGGCGGAAUACACGGAGCUGCUCGGGGAGCUCCGCGCCGCGCGGCGGAGGUUCGGGGAGCUGGAGGCAGCGAUGGGCCAGCGGCCCCGGCACGCCGGGAGCAGGACGGUGGGUCCCUCGGCAGAUGCCGUACGGCUUGCAAGCGGCGUUGGGUGUGAUGAGUUGGCUGGUCUCUGCAGGGACUCGGGAUGAGCCUGGGGGGCUGCAGCGGGUGGGGGGGACUGGAGGGGACGUGGGGACACCCGGGUUCCUGCAGCUGAGAGGUGCGAGUCGUACCCAAAGGCACCCAGCAGCGGCUGGGAAAUUAAUGAGCAGCAGCAUUUCUCAGCUACGCCCUGGGCGAGGUUUUCGCCGUGCAGCGCGGGAGGAAGGCUGGCUGCCCUCGAGCCCCCCAGGCUCGUUAGCUCCCGCUGCCUCGUUAGGGCCAGGCUGAGCCCCCGGGGGCUCCGGGCUGUGUCUUUCGGCCCCACAGGAUGGGAGCAGGGUGGCCCAUGUCUGGCACAAGUACGUGAGGAAGAAGAGGGAUUCGGCCCUCCUGGAGAAGCAGCAGCGCUGCGAAUACCUGAAGAAGAAGCUGACGCACAUCAAGGCGCGGAUCCAGGAGUAUGACCGCGACGCCCGCGACAGCGCCGUCUACUUCUGAGCCUGCGCACCGGCCG